This 201-nucleotide ribosomal RNA is filed under the name uncultured bacterium. RNAcentral's name for it is "partial 16S ribosomal RNA". It matches the Rfam family "Bacterial small subunit ribosomal RNA", at positions 1303 to 1500 of the family's 1533-position model. The record is from RNAcentral.
GUCUGCAACUCGACUACAUGAAGCUGGAAUCGCUAGUAAUCGCGAAUCAGAAUGUCGCGGUGAAUACGUUCCCGGGUCUUGUACACACCGCCCGUCACACCAUGGGAGUCAGUAACGCCCGAAGCCGGUGACCCAACCGGAAACCGGAGGGAGCCGUCGAAGGUGGGACCGAUAACUGGGGUGAAGUCGUAACAAGGUAAC